RNAcentral lists this unclassified non-coding RNA (336 nucleotides) under soil metagenome. Its description in RNAcentral is "partial contains 5.8S ribosomal RNA, internal transcribed spacer 2, and large subunit ribosomal RNA". The stretch from base 1 to 121 matches the Rfam family "5.8S ribosomal RNA", at positions 35 to 154 of the family's 154-position model. The record is from RNAcentral.
GAUGAAGAACGCAGCGAAAUGCGAUAAGUAAUGCGAAUUGCAGAAUUUCCGUGAGUCAUCGAAUCUUUGAACGCACAUUGCGCCCGCCAGUAUUCUGGCGGGCAUGCCUGUUCGAGCGUCAUUUCAACCAUCAAGCCCCCGGCUUGUGUUGGGGACCUGCGGCUGCCGCAGGCCCUGAAAACCAGUGGCGGGCUCGCUAGUCACUCCGAGCGUAGUAAUACAUCUCGCUCAGGGCGUGCUGCGGGUUCCGGCCGUUAAAAAGCCUUAUUUACCCAAGGUUGACCUCGGAUCAGGUAGGAAGACCCGCUGAACUUAAGCAUAUCAAUAAGCGGAGGA